UACGUAGGUGGCAAGCGUUGUCCGGAUUUAUUGGGUUUAAAGGGUGCGUAGGCGGUUCUCUAAGUCAGUUGUGAAAUACGGCAGCUUAACUGUCGAGGUGCAAUUGAUACUGGAGGACUUGAGUACUGAUGAGGUAGGCGGAAUGGACGGUGUAGCGGUGAAAUGCUUAGAUAUCUGGAGGAACACCGGUGGCGAAGGCGGCAUCCUGGACCGGUAUUGACGCUGAGGCGCGAAAGCCAGGGGAGCAAACGGG
Molecule: ribosomal RNA, 253 nt
Filed under: uncultured bacterium
Lineage: Bacteria
Description: partial 16S ribosomal RNA
Rfam family: Bacterial small subunit ribosomal RNA
Source: RNAcentral